GAUGAACGCUGGCGGCGUGCCUAAUACAUGCAAGUCGAGCGAACAGAUGAGGAUCUUGCUCCUCUGACGUUAGCGGCGGACGGGUGAGUAACACGUGUAUAACCUACCUAUAAGACUGGGAUAACUUCGGGAAACCGGAGCUAAUACCGGAUAAUAUAUUGAACCGCAUUGUUCAAUGGUGAAAGACGGUGUUGCUGUCACUUAUAGAUGGAUCCGCGCCUCAUUAGCUAGUUGGUAAGGUAACGGCUUACCAAGGCAACGAUGCGUAGCCGACCUGAGAGGGUGAUCGGCCACACUGGAGCUGAGACACGGUCCAGACUCCUACGGGAGGCAGCAGUCGGGAAUCUUCCGCAAUGGGCGAAAGUCUGACGGAGCAACGCCGCGUGAGUGAUGAAGGUCUUCGGAUCGUAAAACUCUGUUAUUAGGGAAGAACAAAUGUGUAAGUAAAUAUGCACGUCUUGACGGUACCUAAUAAGAAAGCAACGGCUAACUACGUG
This 497-nucleotide ribosomal RNA is filed under the name uncultured bacterium. RNAcentral describes it as "partial 16S ribosomal RNA". It matches the Rfam family "Bacterial small subunit ribosomal RNA", at positions 28 to 507 of the family's 1533-position model. The record is from RNAcentral.